AAAACCACACCUAUACCCCAAUACCCAUAAACCAAAACAUUUGCCAAAACCAGUAAAUGCGAUUAAACCUUAACAACCCGACGCAAUAGCACACAAGUACCGCAAGGGAAAAAUGAAAUAUCAUUAUACACUACGCAUCAAAAAGCAGGAAUUAAUCCCCGUACCUCUCGCAUCACGAUUUAGCCAGAAACCCGCAGACAAAAAGCAUUAACAGCCUGCACUCCCGAAAUCAAGUGAGCUACUCUCAGGCAACCCAAUUGGACCAACCCGUCUCUGUAGCAAAAGAGUGGGACGACCACAGAGUAGAGGCGAAAAACCUAACGAACUUGAUGAUAGCUGGUUACCUGAUAAAUGAAUCUUAAUUCAACUUCAAGCACGACACACAAACACUAGUGCCUUCCCCUUAAAACUUGAAAGAUAUUCAAUAGGGGUACAGCUCUAUUGAAUCAGGCUUCAACCCCAAACGGAGAACCAACAAUACACACCACACACCAGUAGGCUUUAAAUCAGCCACCAAAAAUUUAAGACGUCAAAGCCAACACAACAAAAAUUUCAAUAAUAACCCUACCUUCCCUAAAACACACCAGGUAAUUCCAUACCAUGGAAGAACUAAUGCUAAAAUUAGUAACAAGAAAUAUUCUCUUAAACAUGCCUGUACCUCAGCAACAGAACUCCUACUGACAAUUAACAAACCCUACAAGGACUGAUAACCAUCACAACAAGACCAAAAUCUUACCACUUGUUAACCCAACACAGGAGUGUAGUACAGAAAGAUUAAAAGUUAAGAAAGGAAUUCAACAAAUUCUCAACCCCAACUGUUUAUCAAAAACAUAGCCUUUAGCAAAAAAUAUUAAAGGUCCCGCCUGCCCAGUGACACACCGUUAAACGGCCGCGGUAUACUAACCGUGCAAAGGUAGCGUAAUCACUUGUCCCCUAAAUAGGGACUAGUAUGAACGGCUAAAUGAGGGUACAACUGUCUCUUUCAACUAAUCAGUGAAAUUGAUCUACCAGUACAAAAGCUGGUAUGAACCCAUAAGACGAGAAGACCCUGUGGAGCUUUAGAUAACGAUCAACACACCAUGAUCCACCAUCUUCAGUUGGGGCGACUACGGAGACAAACAAAACCUCCAAGCCAGAGAACUUAACUCCACCACAGACUAACACGUCUACACAUGACCCAGUAUUACUGAGUAACGAACCAAGUUACCCCAGGGAUAACAGCGCUAUCUUCUUUUAGAGUCCCCAUCGCCAAGAAGGUUUACGACCUCGAUGUUGGAUCAGGACACCCAAAUGGUGCAGCUACUAUUAAAGGUUCGUUUGUUCAACGAUUAAAGUCCUACGUGAUCUGAGUUCAGACCGGAGAAAUCCAGGUCGGUUUCUAUCUAUGCUAAAUUUUCUUUAGUACGAAAGGACCAAGAAAAUAGGACCCAUCUUAUAAAGACAUCCUUUAACAAACAGCUG
This 1461-nucleotide ribosomal RNA is filed under the name Siderolamprus cyanochloris. Its description in RNAcentral is "partial 16S ribosomal RNA". It matches the Rfam family "Bacterial large subunit ribosomal RNA", at positions 376 to 2773 of the family's 2925-position model. The record is from RNAcentral. Lineage: Eukaryota; Metazoa; Chordata; Lepidosauria; Squamata; Diploglossidae.